UACGGAGGGUGCAAGCGUUGUCCGGAUUUAUUGGGUUUAAAGGGUGCGUAGGCGGUUAACUAAGUCAGUGGUGAAAGGCAGCGGCUUAACUGUUAGCACUGCCAUUGAUACUGGUUGACUUGAGUACAGACGAGGUAGGCGGAAUUUAUGGUGUAGCGGUGAAAUGCAUAGAUACCAUAAAGAACACCGAUUGCGAAGGCAGCUUACUAGACUGUAACUGACGCUGAGGCACGAAAGCGUGGGGAUCGAACAGG
This 254-nucleotide ribosomal RNA is filed under the name uncultured bacterium. Its description in RNAcentral is "partial 16S ribosomal RNA". It matches the Rfam family "Bacterial small subunit ribosomal RNA", at positions 524 to 776 of the family's 1533-position model. The record is from RNAcentral.